Molecule: ribosomal RNA, 254 nt
Filed under: uncultured bacterium
Lineage: Bacteria
Description: partial 16S ribosomal RNA
Rfam family: Bacterial small subunit ribosomal RNA
Source: RNAcentral
UACGAAGGGGGCUAGCGUUGCUCGGAAUCACUGGGCGUAAAGCGCACGUAGGCGGGUCGUUAAGUCGGGGGUGAAAUCCUGGAGCUCAACUCCAGAACUGCCUUCGAUACUGGCGAUCUUGGAGUCCGGGAGAGGUGGGUGGAACUGCGAGUGUAGAGGUGAAAUUCGUAGAUAUUCGCAAGAACACCAGUGGCGAAGGCGGCUCACUGGCCCGGUACUGACGCUGAGGUGCGAAAGCGUGGGGAGCAAACAGG